UACAGAGGGGGCAAGCGUUGUUCGGAAUUACUGGGCGUAAAGGGCGCGUAGGCGGCCUGUUAAGUCAGACGUGAAAUCCCUCGGCUCAACCGGGGAACUGCGUCUGAUACUGGCGGGCUUGAAUUCGGGAGAGGGAUGUGGAAUUCCAGGUGUAGCGGUGAAAUGCGUAGAUAUCUGGAGGAAUACCGGUGGCGAAGGCGGCAUCCUGGACCGACAUUGACGCUGAACGGCGAAAGCUAGGGGAGCAAACGGG
Molecule: ribosomal RNA, 253 nt
Filed under: uncultured bacterium
Lineage: Bacteria
Description: partial 16S ribosomal RNA
Rfam family: Bacterial small subunit ribosomal RNA
Source: RNAcentral